Lupinus albus (white lupine) is the source of this 95-nucleotide non-coding RNA. The record is from the annotation of a GenBank genome assembly. NCBI's taxonomy places the organism in Eukaryota, Viridiplantae, Streptophyta, Magnoliopsida, Fabales, Fabaceae.
GGGAGAGAUGGCUGAUUGGACUAAAGUGGCGGAUUGCUAAUCCGUUUUAUGAAUUUUUGUACAAAGGGUUCCAAUCCCUCUCUUUUCGCGUUACU